RNAcentral lists this ribosomal RNA (397 nucleotides) under uncultured bacterium. RNAcentral describes it as "partial 16S ribosomal RNA". It matches the Rfam family "Bacterial small subunit ribosomal RNA", at positions 523 to 918 of the family's 1533-position model. The record is from RNAcentral.
AUACGAAGGGUGCAAGCGUUACUCGGAAUUACUGGGCGUAAAGCGUGCGUAGGUGGUUGUUUAAGUCUGUCGUGAAAGCCCUGGGCUCAACCUGGGAAUGGCGAUGGAAACUGGGCGACUAGAGUGUGGCAGAGGGUAGUGGAAUUCCUGGUGUAGCAGUGAAAUGCGUAGAGAUCAGGAGGAACAUCCGUGGCGAAGGCGACUGCCUGGGCCAACACCGACACUGAGGCACGAAAGCGUGGGGAGCAAACAGGAUUAGAUACCCUGGUAGUCCACGCCCUAAACGAUGCGAACUGGAUGUUGGGUGCAAUUUGGCACGCAGUAUCGAAGCUAACGCGUUAAGUUCGCCGCCUGGGGAGUACGGUCGCAAGACUGAAACUCAAAUGAAUUGGCGGGG